This 74-nucleotide transfer RNA is filed under the name Acidobacteriota bacterium. RNAcentral's name for it is "Acidobacteria bacterium (sponge metagenome) tRNA-Gln". It matches the Rfam family "tRNA". From Rfam's summary of the family: Transfer RNA (tRNA) molecules are approximately 80 nucleotides in length. Their secondary structure includes four short double-helical elements and three loops (D, anti-codon, and T loops). Lineage: Bacteria; Pseudomonadati; Acidobacteriota. RNAcentral also lists the same sequence under 1 other name. The record is from RNAcentral.
UGGGAGGUCGUUCAACGGUAGGACACGCGGCUCUGGACCGUGGAAUCGGGGUUCGAAUCCCUGCCUCCCAGCCA